Molecule: long non-coding RNA, 6641 nt
Organism: Apis mellifera (honey bee)
Lineage: Eukaryota; Metazoa; Arthropoda; Insecta; Hymenoptera; Apidae
Exons: 4
Source: RefSeq, a predicted model, not a curated record
AUCGAAAAAAUUUUCACUCAAAUCUUUGGAAAAUAAUUCGAUUACAAUUAAUCGGAGAAAAUAAUAAUUGCCAAGAUAAUUCUUAUUGGCGUGAAAGUCUCUUCGUCGCAAAAAAUCGAGGUAAUAUUUUUUUUAUCGACACAAAACAUUCUUCUUUGAUUAAACACGUCGGGCGUCUUGACGGCGUCGAACGAAGAAAGGAAAAAAAGAAAAAAGAAAAAAGAAGCACGGCCAACUUUAAUAUCGAAGCCAAGUGACGCACGUUGAUGCGGGAGAGCUCUCUCUCUCUCUUUUUCUCCUCUCCUUUAAAAAAUAAUCCGUGUCUUGAAUUAGAAACUCAAUCGUUCUCUAACGCGUGACUGAGAGAACGCACAUGUUUUCACAAAGGGUUGAAAUUGCUUCUCUACGUGUGUAGAAUCGAUGAUACUCACUUGUAAAUGUAUAAAUGAUGGAAAAUAUUCUUUUCAACGAUGCUUUAUUCAGGUAUUGAGAAGUCAAUCAUUUGAUCAAUUUGAUGAAAAAGAUACAAUGGUACAAUACAAUAGUUUUACAAAAUAAGUAAACACAUUGUUUGCUUCUUCUUCUAUGUGAAAUUUACCCUUUGUCUGGUAUAAACUAUUUUUGUGAAGCAAAUAAGCAUGUGUAUGUAACGAGGGUACGAAGGAGAAUCCCGAUAAAUUGCAAGAAAAGUUGGUAUAAUGUUGAUGAAAUAUGGUGGAGGGUGGCGAGUUGGUUUUAAGUUUACGACGCGCAGAAUAUCCCCCUGUUUUAAAGAUAAUAUCCAACAAGAGUAACGAAGGUCUUGGUCCCUUUCUAGAAAAGGGUCGCAAAAUCCAAACAUUGUGACCUUGCAUGCUCAACUACGCGAAUAACGGAUUAAAAAAUUAAUAAAAAUUAGAAAUAUGAAAUUAAUAAAUUGAUAAAAAUAUACAUGCAUUGAAUGUCGAAUAUAUCGUGAAUUUUAAUGAAUAUAUUGGAUUUUUGGAAAGAGUGAAAGUUAAUUUUAAUUCUGUAUAAUUUUUUUGUUUUAUAUACACUUCUUUGACUAAUUGAGUAUAGAAUAAUUUAUCAAUGGGCCACUGGAUGAUAUUUUCCUUUGUCCCAUGUGACCCAUAAGAUAUUUUAACACAAGUGACUGAAAAGUUUUAAGACAAGAUCACCAAUUUAACAGGUUACAAAUAUUAUUCAGAAAAAGCUAAAUAGUUUUUUAAAUUUGUAAAAUUAUAUUUAAACUCGUCGUCAAAAAUAUUUUAUAUCCAUGUAUUCUUUCUUACAAAUUCACGAAACAUUCGUGCAAAAAUUCGCAAAAUGUAUCAAAGUCGAAGAAUCUUAUUCUCGAAUGUGCAAAAACUCACUCAACCAUUUUUAAAUUAAUUAAGAGAUCUAGCACAACAAAUAAGCUUUCGUUCUUCAACCGCGAAAUCUUUUAUUAACAAUUGUUCGCUCUCAAUCUUUGGCUUGAUUUUCUGAGUGAAUUGAUAUAUCCAAAAGGGUCCCAUCGGGUUCCGUUUCCCUUUUCCUCGCGAAAAGGUAGGAAGGGUAAACGUUGUCACAGUAUCUUCUUCGUUUGAUCUUUCUCCAUUGCGCAAAAGACUUCCUUUUCAGUGAAAAUAAACGCGGUGUGGUCGUCGCUUUAGAAUUUUGUGCUCGAUUUCAGAUUGUGGAUAGAUGGUUUGAGGUUAUGAUUACAAAAGUUACAAAAUUAACAAUGUGUUUAAUUUUUUUCUCUGAUUGAUAAUUAAAUUUGUUAACCAUUGUUCUUGGCUAUAAUUAAAUGAUAAUUAUCGAGCAAUAUUAAUUAUUCUUAAUCAAAAUAUUUAUGCUAUGUAAAUAUCUAAUGAAAUUAUUGACAUUUACUACUCGCUUUAACAAAUUGUUAUCUAUAUUAUUGAUCCUACUACUGAAAAAUUCUUCGACUGUGAUUACCUUUUUUCAUUUGUCUGCCAGCAUCACAACUGGUUUAUUCUUAGUUGAUUAUGAUUCAUAAUUAGUCCAUCUAUCUGAGAAAAAAUUAAAAACAUGUCACAGCUAUUGUGUCAGUAAAUGAAAUAUAUUUCCAAGAGAUAAUGUAAUUCGAGAGAUAAUUUACUUAUUUUUUGGUGACAAAACAUUUAUCAAUAUCUUCUUUUUUUUCCAUUUUCGAGAUUACUGUAUCUCCUUUUUCGCUUGCAGGUGUAUACAUUUUCAAUGAAAAAUCGUUUCCAUAAUCCUUGAAUCGAUGAUACUCCUUCGACUGGUUUCUCCGUAUAUCCGUGAAAGAAGUUCUUCGAUUUUACGAGUUCACAGAAAAAAAAGGAAAAGAAAAAACGUUCUCAUUCCCAAACAACAAUCGUAGCAGCGCAGACACGUGACAAUAACUCGGGCGAAAAUUCUCAGAGCAUCUGGAAACGUCGUUAUUCCCCGAUUCCCUGCCAUUGUGUCGCAUUCGAUCUGUCAAAGGGGUUGCAUCUUUUCUCCCCUCUUAUUCGAGGCGAGGAAGAGCCGAGGAUCUUGCGCAUCCUCCAUUCGUCCCUUUUUCUUUUUCUUUUUUUUUUUCCACGAGCAAGACGAGAGUCGUUCAAAGGGAAGAAUCGUACGUGCCUCGUCGAGCAUAUAGAUUCUUUCCAACUUGUCUAGAGACGUCUGUCUUUGUACCUAUCCAUUUGUCUAUCCAUUUCACAUGGUCUAUUAAGCAAACUGUCAUUGGAUUGUUUCAAAUUUUCUUUUUUUUUCUUUUUUCAGUUGUUGUAACGUAGAAUCUUUUAUGUUGAAUUUAUAUACGCGUGUAAAGAUGCGACUAUAUCCUGUAUAUUUAUACAGGAUUCAGAUAUUGCAUUUUCCUCUUUUUGAACAGACUUUUUGAACAUGUAACAAGCUCAAUAUAGUGAAACAAAGGAAUGUUGGGUAUAAAUAAAUUUAAACUUGGAAAGAAUAGCAAGUGUUGAUUAUUCCAAUGGUUCAAUGCGAGGUGCAGAGGUAUUGAUUGGCUCCUUGUUGAUGAAAGGAAUAACUUCAAUGUAAAAAUACAAGUAAAACAAUUUUUUACAAUCUAAAUUUUAAUCCACAAACGAAAAGAAAUCAGAAACAAGUGAAUUUUAACAGAUUAAGAUAAGAUAUAUCAAUAUCAUUCUCCACUCGUCCACUAUAAAAAAUAUUAUUAACAAUAAUUAACAUUUGAUUAAGAUGAUCAAAACAUUAUUAAACAUUGUACAAUUAACAACAUCUAAUAGACAAGGAAACAAGAGCUCGAUUCCAUGAGAAAAAAGAAAAAUAUAUAUAUAUUUAGAACGAAGAUUCCACUCUACAUCUUAUUCUCCAACAAAUGGAUAACAUUGUCCGUACGAAACGGAUCGGUGCACCACAACCGGUUGUUACAAGCGAUUCGAGCAGCUCCCAGGGACAGAAAGGCACCAAGUUUAAUCUAGCCUGUGCAAUCUCGUCUAAACGUAUCGAAAUCCGGUCGAAUAUAAAUCACAGGGGUGUGAGGGGGUGAGGCGUAUCCGAAAGCGAGCCAUCAUUUAUUCAACGUUUCGCCUCUGAUCCCUAGCCAACCUGAAGGGGGUGGAACUGGACUUCCUGGACACCUGGAAUUCCCCCCAUAGCUUCCUACUAUUCCCUCGUAAUCAUGCCAGGGGAUUAGUUAGUGACCAGCUUCGCUUUGUAAUCGCCAGUGUUUCUCACCCUCUCCUCCCCUUUCGACACUCUGAAAGACGUCGUAAAAGAAACGGAUAAACGGAUAUUGUACACUCGUAGGAGUGAUGCAAGAUUUAGCUUUAUAGAUAGUGGAUCUAACGAGGAGAUUAUUCCGUGUUUUACAAGCAUGCGAUUCGGCUUAUUGUCGGGGAUAAAUAGUUGUAACUUUCAAUUGUUAUUCUCUUGUUCAACGUGGGGAGGGGGAGGGGGGAGUUUUUCGAAAAUGUUUGGACAAUUUGAGGAAAGGAAAAAGGGAGAUUCGGUUUUAGGGAUGUGUUAUCUAUCGGACAAGUGAAUUUGCGAUUGAAUGAUCGAUCUGUACUACUUGUUCCAACUAUAAUUGAUUUAUUUUACUUGUCCGGUUAGGUUUGAAUUAUCGAUCGUUUCAUUUUUCUGAUCGUGACAGGCUUAUCCCAUUAUUUGUAACAACAGCCACUGUCCAUUUGUCUGGUAUAUGAUCGAUCUGUAUUACUUAGUCGAGAAUGAUUGAUUUAUUAUUGUCUGAUCGUUUAAAUUAUAUUUCGAUGUAAUAUGGAAUGCUUAAAUGAUGCUUUUCGAUAAAUAAAAGCAUCGUUUAAUUUAAAUGUUAUAUAUAUCACAAUGCAAGUACAAUAUUAUAAUUGGUAGAGCAAUUGUUGGGAAAUAUUCAGUUAUAUGAAUGUUAUGUGGAUUUUAGGGAUGUAAGAAAUGUUUCUAAGUGAACCAGAAUGACAUUUUCAUUUUAGAAAAAUGAUCCUCAACCUGAGAUGGCUGAAUGAGUGCAUCAUUUAUGCAGAGAGCAAGUUUAAGAGGCAAAGAUACAUUUUUAGAAAACUUCUGAUUCUUUUUCCAACCAAGCAGUGAAAAUUUUAUACGCUGUUACUCUGAUAUUAAAAUAUAUCCUCAAAAAUAAAGAAACACAGUGUUUGAGAUAAACUCACAUAAUUUUUCUCAAAUAAAGCAUAUGAAAUAUUAUAAAGAUAUUUCUAUUUGCAAUGAGAAAAACAACAUGAGUACAUUUGAUGUUCAUUUUUGAUACAUUGUCGACUAAAAUCAAUUUCCUUCUGAUUAACAAUAAAAUGUUCAAUGAUUAUUAGAAUUAUUAGAAAAACUAAAAACUACGAUUAAUAAAAAUAAUAUUCAGGAAAUCGAUCCACGACCAAGAAUUAUCGUUCUAAAUCUUUCCAUGCAUCAUAGUCCCACUGAAAUGGAAUAAUUUCGCGAUAUUUCAUCCGAAAUGCGUUUUCGCAUUGCAGAUUUUAGGCAAGGGAGAGGAUUAAGCGACAUUUUUUUUUUUCGAGAGAGAGAGAGAGCUUUGCCCUCGAGCUUUCAUCAAUCAUCGAGCGCGUCGGUGGUCGGAUCGACGAGGUUGACAAUGGGUGGCGAUUCUUCCCUCGAAUAUGUCAGCCAUCCUUAUCUUCUAACAUCAAUCACGCGUUUAGGAUUAAUAGCCGUGGAUGAGACAGUGAUUUUCACGAUUACAAAACUGACAGAUCCUUUUGCUUCGUUCUUAUUAUCCCCGCGACGAAUAUUGUAAUAUUCACACGUCGGAUAAGAAGAUCAAAGAAUUUUUUAAUUUUUUAAUCUAUCUUAAAGAUUGAUCCUUAUUUUUUUUUACUUUUCAUUCGAUUUAAAAUCAAAUUUGUCUUUGAGAUAUUAAUCUAGUUCUGCAUGAAUAUUUACAUCGAUAUUUCAUUUUAUCUACAUUUUCGUUCUUCCUUCCUGAAAUUUAAAUUCAAAAUCCAUUCUUCACAAAUAUCUCGAAUCCACUCCAACAUAAUUCACUCUUUCGAAAAUUCCACGAGUAUAUAGCAUUCCAUGUAAAAAAUAAACAAUAUAUAAAUCCAUGGUAAUGUCCAAUUUCACGUAUUUCCGGAACCGGAAGAUCGUCAUUCCGUUCCUUGAUUAACCAGAGUUUUCUUCUCCCCUCCUUGCGAGAGAGAGAGAGAGAGAGAGAACGAAACAAUUUCUCAGCUCAUAAAGAAGCCAAUGCUUCCUAGCAGAGAUGUUUUGGAAAAUUGAUCUCUCCGUUGGAUUAUUCGGUACACCGACAAUGAAAGGCUUUAAAUUGGAGUUGGUGGAAGUUUUAGUCCUUGGCAACGAUGUGUUUUGGGAAAUUUGGGAAAAUUGCGUGCGGUGAAAAUUGGAACAUUGAUGGUAACUGAUAACCAAAUGGUUUCCACGAUGAAGAUUCGUCGAGUCGAAUGAUUGAAAGCAUAGUGGAAGAAGGUGAUGAAGGAUUUGUGUAAAAAAGAAAAGAAGCCAAUUUAUUGUAAAGCGAUCGACUCGUACUACUUUUCUCGACGAAAUUAUCGAGCAUACUACUGAUCGAAUUAUUAUCGACUCUGUCGAUUGAUUCUUGAUUUUGUUGCUUGUUUGAUAAAAUUACCGAUAAACUAUCGGUUUGGCCAAGUACUGUUGACCCUAUAUUGCUUGUCUGAUAAAUUUACCGAUAUACUACUAUUUGCUCGAGUAAAUUAUUGACCGCGUGGUCCGAUCAAUUUUCGAUCGUACUACUUGUUUGGCAAAAUUAUUGAUUUGGCAUAUAUAUUUAAAUUUGAAAUUUAAUUCAAACUCUUGAUGUCUUCUCAUUGAGUGAGAAAGUGUGUUUGAACGAAAGUCAAGAGUGGAAAAAGUGUUUUAUCAAAAAUAGCCAGAGGUUAUUUUUCAUUAAAGAUAAAGGAAGAAUGUAAAAUAAGAAGAAUGGGGCUCCAUCCAUUUUUUGCGAAGAAAUGCAUUCGUACUUAUUUGUAUCCCGUUCUAUUUUAUAAAAGUAACAUCCUCCCUCUAAUCCAUCUCUGACUGUAUCACGCUGCACCAUUGGAGGGAAUAUUACGGUAUAUUAAAUUCUAUAAGAAAUCGUUUCUCCUCGAAAUAUAUUGCAAUAACAAAUUAUCUUUCGUUUUCCUAAGAUUGAUAACCGAAGAAGUAUUUUCCAUUCGUAAGAUCAAAAGUUAAAAUUAAUUAAAUAUCCUAUCAUUUUUUAUCAU